AAGUCGUAACAAGGUUUCCGUAGGUGAACCUGCGGAAGGAUCAUUAACAAAUCAACUGGCGCGUCGCAAGACGCGUCAAAACAUCCUAACCUGUGAAUCGCAGGCAGCUUGCUGUCUGUUGUGCGAGCAAUCGCACAAACAUACACGUCGUCUAACACAAUGUCUGAAUACAAAACAAAACAAAUACAACUUUUAGCAAUGGAUCUCUUGGCUUCUGUAACGAUGAAGA
RNAcentral lists this unclassified non-coding RNA (229 nucleotides) under fungal sp. RNAcentral's name for it is "partial internal transcribed spacer region". The stretch from base 1 to 46 matches the Rfam family "Eukaryotic small subunit ribosomal RNA", at positions 1786 to 1831 of the family's 1831-position model. The record is from RNAcentral. Lineage: Eukaryota; Fungi.